UACGUAGGGUGCGAGCGUUAAUCGGAAUUACUGGGCGUAAAGCGUGCGCAGGCGGUUGGCAAAGUCAGCUGUGAAAGCCCCGGGCUUAACCUGGGAAUGGCGGUUGAAACUGGCGAACUAGAAUCUGGCAGAGGGGGGUGGAAUUCCACGUGUAGCAGUGAAAUGCGUAGAGAUGUGGAGGAACACCGAUGGCGAAGGCAGCCCCCUGGGCUGAGAUUGACGCUCAGGCACGAAAGCGUGGGGAGCAAACAGG
This 253-nucleotide ribosomal RNA is filed under the name uncultured bacterium. RNAcentral describes it as "partial 16S ribosomal RNA". It matches the Rfam family "Bacterial small subunit ribosomal RNA", at positions 524 to 776 of the family's 1533-position model. The record is from RNAcentral.